UUCGGUUCACCGAGAAAUGGGAGUGGCGAACGGGUGAGUAACACGUGGGUAACCUACCCAUCAGCGGGGGAUAACACUUGGAAACAGGUGCUAAUACCGCAUAAUUCUUUUCUUCGCCUGGAGGGAAGAUGAAAGACGCUUUUGCGUCACUGAUGGAUGGACCCGCGCUGCAUUAGCUAGUUGGUGGGGUAACGGCUCACCAAGGCCACGAUGCAUAGCCGACCUGAGAGGGUGAACGGCCACACUGGGACUGAGACACGGCCCAGACUCCUACGGGAGGCAGCAGUAGGGAAUCUUCGGCAAUGGACGGAAGUCUGACCGAGCAACGCCGCGUGAGUGAAGAAGGUUUUCGGAUCGUAAAACUCUGUUGUUAGAGAAGAAUAAGGAUGAGAGUAGAAUGUUCAUCCCUUGACGGUAUCUAACCAGAAAGCCACGGCUAACUACGUGCCAGCAGCCGCGGUAAUACGUAGGUGGCAAGCGUUGUCCGGAUUUAUUGGGCGUAAAGCGAGCGCAGGCGGUUUCUUAAGUCUGAUGUGAAAGCCCCCGGCUUAACCGGGGAGGGUCAUUGGAAACUGGGAGACUUGAGUGCAGAAGAGGAGAGUGGAAUUCCAUGUGUAGCGGUGAAAUGCGUAGAUAUAUGGAGGAACACCAGUGGCGAAGGCGACUCUCUGGUCUGUAACUGACGCUGAG
RNAcentral lists this ribosomal RNA (690 nucleotides) under uncultured Enterococcus sp. RNAcentral describes it as "bacterial SSU rRNA". It matches the Rfam family "Bacterial small subunit ribosomal RNA", at positions 74 to 750 of the family's 1533-position model. The record is from RNAcentral. Lineage: Bacteria; Bacillati; Bacillota; Bacilli; Lactobacillales; Enterococcaceae.